AUACGUAGGGUGCAAGCGUUAAUCGGAAUUACUGGGCGUAAAGCGUGCGCAGGCGGUUCGGAAAGACGGAUGUGAAAUCCCAGGGCUCAACCUUGGAACUGCAUUCUUAACUACCGAACUAGAGUAUGUCAGAGGGGGGUAGAAUUCCGCGUGUAGCAGUGAAAUGCGUAGAUAUGCGGAGGAAUACCGAUGGCGAAGGCAGCACCCUGGGAUAAUACUGACGCUCAUGCACGAAAGCGUGGGUAGCAAACAGGAUUAGAUACCCUGGUAGUCCACGCCCUAAACGAUGUCAACUAGCUGUUGGGCCCUUCGGGGCUUAGUAGCGUAGCUAACGCGUGAAGUUGGCCGCCUGGGGAGUACGGUCGCAAGAUUAAAACUCAAAGGAAUUGACGGGG
This 395-nucleotide ribosomal RNA is filed under the name uncultured bacterium. Its description in RNAcentral is "partial 16S ribosomal RNA". It matches the Rfam family "Bacterial small subunit ribosomal RNA", at positions 523 to 918 of the family's 1533-position model. The record is from RNAcentral.